This 155-nucleotide ribosomal RNA is filed under the name uncultured eukaryote. RNAcentral describes it as "partial small subunit ribosomal RNA". It matches the Rfam family "Eukaryotic small subunit ribosomal RNA", at positions 1651 to 1804 of the family's 1831-position model. The record is from RNAcentral.
CCCUGCCAUUUGUACACACCGCCCGUCGCUACUACCGAUUGAAUGGCUUAGUGAGCUCUCUGGACUGUUGCUCGUUGUUGGAAACUUCGACUUGCACACGGGAAGGAGAUCAAACUUGAUCAUUUAGAGGAAGUAAAAGUCGUAACAAGGUUUCC